RNAcentral lists this ribosomal RNA (253 nucleotides) under uncultured prokaryote. Its description in RNAcentral is "partial 16S ribosomal RNA". It matches the Rfam family "Bacterial small subunit ribosomal RNA", at positions 525 to 777 of the family's 1533-position model. The record is from RNAcentral.
ACAGAGGGGGCGCGCGUUAUUCGGAGUUAUUGGGCGUAAAGGGCGCGUAGGCGGCUUGGCAAGUGGAUGGUGAAAUCCCUCGGCUUAACCGAGGAACUGCCAUCCAGACUGCUUUGCUUGAGGCCGGGAGAGGUAAGUGGAAUUCCGAGUGUAGAGGUGAAAUUCGUAGAUAUUCGGAAGAACACCAGUGGCGAAGGCGGCAUCCUGGACCGGCAUUGACGCUGAGGCGCGAAAGCCAGGGGAGCAAACGGGA